UUUGAAUUAUUUUCGUGGUCGAGAGUAUUGUCCGUUGCUACUUUAAAAGAGCGCCAUUUCUCUCAGAGACGAAACGUGGCUUUGUUACUGAUAAAGUAACGGACGUAAAAAGAAGCAGUUCUUGCCGUUAAAUUAGCUUAACAAAGUGAUGUUGCAACUUUAUCGACUGAUACAGAACUAAAAAAAGCUUAAGCAAUGGCGUCGUCGAACAGUGCAUACUCUAAUUGAUUCUUCUAAUUAAGAAAAACAAGAAAUUUUUCAAACAAAAUAGAAUUGGGAAAAAUUUAUGUUACCUUAAUGUUUAUGAAAACUGUCUGUUUUCAAAAAUGGUUUCCUAAAUGUUUUCCUGUGAUUGGAGGUGCCCUGGAUGUAACGGAGCAUGCAUUUUGCAGCUUGCUGGUGUGUAUUUUUAUCAUGUAUUGAAUUGGCUCAAUAUGUUUACUGUGUAGUCAAUAUCAGGUCGAUUCUGAAAAAAAUAAUCCACGAUAUGGACCCGAAAAUGUAUUUUGAAUGCGAAUGUAAAAACUAAGACACGAAAUUUUCGAAAAAUGUAUGUUUUAUUUAAUAAUCUAAAUUGUAAAUAAUAUUUUAAUUUUUGUUUUUAAAA
Molecule: long non-coding RNA, 607 nt
Organism: Centruroides sculpturatus (bark scorpion)
Lineage: Eukaryota; Metazoa; Arthropoda; Arachnida; Scorpiones; Buthidae
Exons: 3
Source: RefSeq, a predicted model, not a curated record